GUCCACGCCGUAAACGAUGGAUGCUAGUUGUCAGGCAGCAUGCUGUUUGGUGACGCAGCUAACGCAUUAAGCAUCCCGCCUGGGGAGUACGGCCGCAAGGUUAAAACUCAAAGAAAUUGACGGGGGCCCGCACAAGCGGUGGAGCAUGUGGUUUAAUUCGAAGCAACGCGCAGAACCUUACCUACCCUUGACAUCCCGAUCGCGGAUUACAGAGAUGUUUUCCUUCAGUUAGGCUGGAUCGGU
RNAcentral lists this ribosomal RNA (243 nucleotides) under uncultured bacterium. RNAcentral's name for it is "partial 16S ribosomal RNA". It matches the Rfam family "Bacterial small subunit ribosomal RNA", at positions 793 to 1032 of the family's 1533-position model. The record is from RNAcentral.